RNAcentral lists this ribosomal RNA (449 nucleotides) under uncultured bacterium. Its description in RNAcentral is "partial 16S ribosomal RNA". It matches the Rfam family "Bacterial small subunit ribosomal RNA", at positions 29 to 523 of the family's 1533-position model. The record is from RNAcentral.
AACGAACGCUGGCGGCAGGCCUAACACAUGCAAGUCGAACGCCCUGGCAACAGGGAGUGGCAGACGGGUGGGUAACGCGUGGAAACGUGCCCUUCGGUUCGGAAUAACUCAGGGAAACUUGAGCUAAUACCGGAUACGUGCGAGAGCAGAAAGAUUUAUCGCCGAAGGAUCGGCCCGCGUCCGAUUAGCUAGUUGGUGAGGUAACGGCUCACCAAGGCGACGAUCGGUAGCUGGUCUGAGAGGAUGAUCAGCCACACUGGGACUGAGACACGGCCCAGACUCCUACGGGAGGCAGCAGUGGGGAAUAUUGGACAAUGGGCGCAAGCUUGAUCCAGCCAUGCCGCGUGAGUGAUGAAGGCCCUAGGGUUGUAAAGCUCUUUCGCCAGGGACGAUAAUGACGGUACCUGGAUAAGAAGCCCCGGCUAACUUCGUGCCAGCCGCCGCCGUAA